AGAUUGACUUUUGGAAGAGGCCAAAUAUCAAUGCUGAUGUAGAUAUUGAUGUACCUAUCAAAGUGUAUGAUGACGUCACUCAACAAUUGUCACGUGUUGACCUUAAGCCUACUUUAUUAGUUCAUGAUAUACAAAGUGUUAUGGACCAAGAGGAAGCUUCCAUGGAGAUCCCUGAUUACGUCAUUGAUUCAACAGGUGCGAUGGCAUCUCCAGCACUCAAACUAAGGAAUACGGAUAUUGUCGGAAAAUUUGCACGACAUGCCGAGAUUGACAGUUGGCUCUUAAGGAUGGCAUCAAAAUACUCUGCAAUUGCAAAAAUAGAGUCUAUCGGCAUAACAUAUGAAGGCAGAGAUAUGAAAGUUAUCAAGGUACAAUG
This is a long non-coding RNA of Saccostrea cuccullata (small rock oyster), 376 nucleotides long. RefSeq lists it as uncharacterized. The record is from RefSeq and is a predicted model, not a curated record. The transcript is spliced from 3 exons. Lineage: Eukaryota; Metazoa; Mollusca; Bivalvia; Ostreida; Ostreidae.